RNAcentral lists this ribosomal RNA (498 nucleotides) under uncultured bacterium. RNAcentral describes it as "partial 16S ribosomal RNA". It matches the Rfam family "Bacterial small subunit ribosomal RNA", at positions 29 to 507 of the family's 1533-position model. The record is from RNAcentral.
AGCGAACGCUGGCGGCGUGCCUGACACAUGCAAGUCGAACGUGAAAAGGGAAACCUGAGUAAAGUGGCGUACGGGUGAGUAACGCGUAGGUAAUCUACCCCAGAAUCUGGAAUAACCUGCCGAAAGGCGGGCUAAUACUGGAUAGAGCGAGGGAACUCGUAAGAGAGUUUUUCGGGAAAGGGAGCCCGCAAGGGCCUUCGUUCUGGGAUGAGCCUGCGUCUCAUUAGCUAGUUGGUAAGGUAACGGCUUACCAAGGCGAUGAUGAGUAGCUGGUCUGAGAGGAUGAUCAGCCACACUGGAACUGAAACACGGUCCAGACUCCUACGGGAGGCAGCAGUGGGGAAUCUUGCGCAAUGGACGAAAGUCUGACGCAGCCACGCCGCGUGAGUGAAGAAGGCCUUCGGGUUGUAAAGCUCUGUCGGAUGGGACGAACAUCUUCAUAGUGAAUAGCUAUGAGGACUGACGGUACCAUCAAAGGAAGCACCGGCUAACUCCGUG